UUUCCAUUCAAACUAGGACAAGGCCCUACUUUAUGAAGGGUAAGGGUCUUCUUCUUUGCAAACUGCCAAGGGCUACAGCAAUGAGACCUCUGUCAAGGUGAGGGAAGCCUAAGAGGAUGGAUUCUCAAGCAGGUGCUUUGCCACAAAGCAUCAGCACCCCACGGAGAGAAUCAGGCUCCCUGUGCCCCUAUGUUCGGUGUGUAGCUUUACACACAGAGGUGUCUCUGUACGAGCCAAGAAUGUUCCUAAGAGAUGAGACACACUAACGUCUCCUACAGAGCAUAGACCUGUCCAUGUGGUUUUUCCUUCCCCUGUGAGAUGGGUCCCCGAGGUCCACCCCAGCUCUGGGGAUAGAGCCCCUGAGAAAAGAUCUCCAGGAACCGCUGUUUGCCCAGGCUGGGAAACGCAGUUCACAGGAGGCCAGGCAAGCGAGCCUCCCACAGGGAAAAAUAGGCCUUACUGUCCCUGGAGGAGCACGCUGCCAGAGUGUGUGACACCUGACUGGUGCCUUACUGACCUCAGCUCCGCCACUGCAUGGCCAUCCAAACCAGGACCCAGGCCUACUUGGAGAAGGGUUUGGGUGCGGAUUUGUAAAAACUGCCAAGGGUUACAGCAAUGAGAAGUCUCUCAGAGGUAAGGGAGAGCAUUGUAUGGAUUCUUAAGCUGUUGUUUGAAUGACAGCUUCAAAGCUGCAAAGAGAGAAUCAGGCCCUGUGUGCCCCCUUGUUGGGUACGCAGCUCCACACACAGAGGUAUCCCCGUGGAAUCCAAGACUUUCCUCACAUACUGAGGUUAACUAGAGUUCUCCUACAGAGCAAAGACUUGUCCAUGUGGUUUUGCCUUCCUCUGUGCGUGUGGGUCUCCGGGCUCGGCUCCAACUCCGUUGAAAUAGCCCCUGAAAAAAGAUCUCCAAGAACCACUUUUCCCCCAGGCGGGAAGCGGAGUUCACAGGAAGCGGAACAAGCAAGCCUCCUUCGGGCAAGUAGAUGCAGCCAACUAGCCUGUGUUUGGAAGCCUCUAUUUGGAAGGAAUGGUUAGCUUCUCCAAAAGAAGACCUCCAGAUCUGCUCAGAAGAUGGAAAUUCCAGAGGCAGGGUCGAGGUUCCUGACUGUCCUUUACCAGCCUUGCAAAGACAUUUCUAGAUUCUAGCGUUAUUUUCCAUGAAGGAGCAGGCUUCAGGAAUAUGUCAGACUUGACUGGCGCCUUACUGGCCUCAGCUCAGCUAUCGCCUUUCCGUUCAAACUAGGACAAGGGCCUACUUGGUGAAGGGUAAGGGUCUGCUUCUUUCCAAACUGCCAAAGGCUACAGCAAAGAGACCUCUGUCAAAGAGAGGGAAGUGGAAGCGGAUGGAUUCUCAAACAGGUGCUUUGCCACAAAGCAUCUGUACCCCACGGAGAGAAUCAGGCUGCAUUUGCCCCUAUGUUGGGUGUGUAGCUUCAAACACAGAGGUGUUUCUAUAGGAGCCCAGAAUGUUCCUGGGAGAUGAGGUUCACUAGAGCUCUGCUACAGAGCAUAGACCUGUCCAUAUGGUUUUGCCUUCCCCUGUGAGUUGGGUUCCCGAUGUUCGCCCCAGCUCCGAGGAAGAAACCCCUGAGAAAACACCUCCAGGAACUGCUUUUCGUCCAGACUGGGAAACGCAGUUCACAGAAGGCAAGGCAAGCGAGCCUCCUGCAGAGAAAAAGAGGCCUUACUGCUCCUGGACGAUCAGGCUGCAAGAGUGUGUGAGACCUCACUUGUGCCUUACUGGCCUCAGCUCCGCCGUUGCCUGUUGUUCCGAGCUAGGACCCAGGCCUACUUGGAGAAGGGUUAGGGUGCGGAUUUCUACAAACUGUCAAGGACUACAGCAAUGAGAAUUCUCUUAGCAGUAAGGGAGAGCAUUGUAUGGAUUCUCAAGCUGUUGUUUGAAUGACAGCUUCAAAGCUACACAGAGAGAAUCAGGCUCUCUGUUCCCCUAUUUUGGCUGUGCAGCUUCACACACAGAAUUUGACUCUGUUGGAGCCAGAAAUAUUCCUGAAAGACUUAGGCUCACCAAAGCUGUCCUCCAGAGCAAAGACAUUGGAUGUGGUUUUGCCUUCCCUUGUCAGUAUGGGUCCCCUAGCUUGGCCCCAGCUCCGGGGAUACAGCCUCUGAAAAAAAUCUUCCAAGAAGCGAUUUUCCUCCAGGCUGUUAAGCGGAAUUCGCAGUUUGCAAGUU
Bubalus bubalis (water buffalo) is the source of this 2192-nucleotide long non-coding RNA. RefSeq lists it as uncharacterized. The transcript is spliced from 2 exons. The record is from RefSeq and is a predicted model, not a curated record. Lineage: Eukaryota; Metazoa; Chordata; Mammalia; Artiodactyla; Bovidae.